Molecule: ribosomal RNA, 373 nt
Filed under: uncultured bacterium
Lineage: Bacteria
Description: bacterial SSU rRNA
Rfam family: Bacterial small subunit ribosomal RNA
Source: RNAcentral
ACGGAGGGUGCGAGCGUUAAUCGGAAUUACUGGGCGUAAAGCGCGCGUAUGUGGUCUUGUAAGUCGGAUGUGAAAGCCCCGAGCUUAACUUGGGAACGGCAUUCGAUACUGCCUGACUAGAGUAUGGGAGAGGAGAGCGGAAUUCCCGGUGUAGCGGUGAAAUGCGUAGAUAUCGGGAGGAACAUCAGUGGCGAAGGCGGCUCUCUGGACUAAUACUGACACUGAGGCGCGAAAGCGUGGGUAGCAAACAGGAUUAGAUACCCUGGUAGUCCACGCCCUAAACGAUGUCAACUAGCCGUUGGGUUCAUUUAAGAAUUUAGUGGCGCAGCUAACGCGAUAAGUUGACCGCCUGGGGAGUACGGCCGCAAGGUUA